RNAcentral lists this ribosomal RNA (205 nucleotides) under uncultured bacterium. RNAcentral describes it as "partial 16S ribosomal RNA". It matches the Rfam family "Bacterial small subunit ribosomal RNA", at positions 524 to 723 of the family's 1533-position model. The record is from RNAcentral.
GACAGAGGGUGCAAACGUUGUUCGGAAUUACUGGGCGUAAAGCGCGUGUAGGCGGCUAAGUAAGUCGGGCGUGAAAAUCCCCACGGGCUCAACCGUGGAAGUGCACUCGAAACUGCAUAGCUAGAGUCCUGGAGAGGAAGGUGGAAUGCUUGGUGUAGAGGUGAAAUUUCGUAGAUAUCAAGCGGAACACCGGAUGGCGAAGGCG